Molecule: ribosomal RNA, 300 nt
Filed under: Triticum aestivum (bread wheat)
Lineage: Eukaryota; Viridiplantae; Streptophyta; Magnoliopsida; Poales; Poaceae
Description: partial small subunit ribosomal RNA
Source: RNAcentral
AUGUGUUGGAACGUGCGUGGCCUGAACAGCCCGACCAAGAAGAAGGCACUGCGUGAAUUUGCGGACUCGGUGCACCCAGCUAUUUUUUGUAUCCAGGAGACUAAACUUGCUUGUAUUGACACUUAUACUGUUAUGCAAUGUCUUGGCCCGUCUUAUGAUGGGUAUUACUACUUACCGGCUACGGAUACGAGGGGUGGGAUCCUUUUAGCUUGGAAUGCAGCGCUGACCAACAUUAUGAACUUUGUUAGAGACACACACUGCAUCACUGGGUACAUAUCUCCAAGCCUCAGACAAGAAUAA